CACCAGGCGCGAAAACUUUACAAUGCCGGCAACGGCGAUAAGGGGACCUCGAGUGCCAGGUUACAAAUCUGGCUGUCGAGAUGCCUAAAAAGCAUUUCAUAGCAAGGGCCGGGCAAGACCGGUGCCAGCCGCCGCGGUAACACCGGCGGCUCGAGUGGUAACCGUUAUUAUUGGGUCUAAAGGGUCUGUAGCCGGCCGGAUAAGUCUCUUGGGAAAUCCAGCAGCUCAACUGUUGGGCUUUCAGGAGAUACUGUCUGGCUCGAGGCCGGGAGAGGUGAGAGGUACUUCAGGGGUAGGGGUGAAAUCUUGUAAUCCUUGAAGGACCACCAGUGGCGAAGGCGUCUCACCAGAACGGACCUGACGGCAAGGGACGAAAGCUAGGGGCACGAACCGGAUUAGAUACCCGGGUAGUCCUAGCCGUAAACGAUACUCGCUAGGUGUCGGCCACGGUGCGACCGUUGUCGGUGCCGUAGGGAAGCCGUGAAGCGAGCCACCUGGGAAGUACGGCCGCAAGGCUGAAACUUAAAGGAAUUGGCGGGGGAGCAC
Molecule: ribosomal RNA, 546 nt
Filed under: uncultured archaeon
Lineage: Archaea
Description: bacterial SSU rRNA
Rfam family: Archaeal small subunit ribosomal RNA
Source: RNAcentral